Small nucleolar RNA from Tripterygium wilfordii, 84 nucleotides. RefSeq annotates it as small nucleolar RNA U83. The record is from RefSeq and is a predicted model, not a curated record. Lineage: Eukaryota; Viridiplantae; Streptophyta; Magnoliopsida; Celastrales; Celastraceae. The transcript has a single exon.
UGCUGGUGAUGAAGCAAAUGGUAUAUACAUUAUGUAUGAAAACUAUGAUUACAUACAUACCUCUACUGCCUUCCUUCUGAAGCU